RNAcentral lists this long non-coding RNA (179 nucleotides) under Gadus morhua (Atlantic cod). RNAcentral's name for it is "lncRNA (ENSGMOG00000034724.1)". Lineage: Eukaryota; Metazoa; Chordata; Actinopteri; Gadiformes; Gadidae. The record is from RNAcentral.
GAAUAAUUGUAACCGCGGAACUGCGGCGGCAUGCGCAACAGCAGGGGGGGCAACCGGGGGCCCCGGGUGUGUAGUGGUAGCCACGGCGACCAGACUGCAACAUGGCGGCGGCCGGAGGUGUGGAGCGACAGCAGACCGGAGCCCUAAAGAUACAGAUAUUGUUACCGUACAGAAGCCGU